Molecule: ribosomal RNA, 193 nt
Filed under: Anaerobranca gottschalkii DSM 13577
Lineage: Bacteria; Bacillati; Bacillota; Clostridia; Eubacteriales; Proteinivoracaceae
Description: 23S rRNA. Bacterial LSU
Rfam family: Bacterial large subunit ribosomal RNA
Source: RNAcentral
UGGCAGUGCUGGGUAGCCAAGUUUGGACGGGAUAAGCGCUGAAAGCAUCUAAGCGCGAAACCCACCUCAAGAUAAGACUUCCCAUUCCGUUAAGGAAGUAAGACCCCAGGAAGAAUACCUGGUAGAUAGGCUAGGAGUGUAAGGGCAGUAAUGUCUUAAGCGGACUAGUACUAAUCGGUCGAGGACUUGACCA